Non-coding RNA from Picea glauca (white spruce), 1486 nucleotides. The record is from Rfam. NCBI's taxonomy places the organism in Eukaryota, Viridiplantae, Streptophyta, Pinopsida, Pinales, Pinaceae.
UUGUAUUGGAUGCUCGACAUUAAGAUGGAAGGAUGCUUCCAAAGGCGAAAGACCAUGAGGAGGUACCACCAAUGAUCCAUGGAUCUCCCAUCAAGAAACCGUAUCCAAGCUCCAUGGUUACUCCACCUUGGAGUUCCAAGACUCUGUGAAGUGAAACAUCUAAAUAGCUAGAGGAAGGGGAAUUAAUUGAGACCCUAUUGGUAGCAACAAGCGAAAGUGGAUUGGGAAAAUACAAAGUAGCAAAGGUUUUCCUUUCGAUAUUGGUGUGGGGAUCAAACCUCGACCCCCAACUAACCGACUUCUUUGUGAAAUUAAUCUCAAUCAUUUAAUAAUUAAUUGAAUGAUGGAAGAACCAUGCAUGUUGGUGCUCGGCCCUUGUAUCUAGGCGACUAGGAAGCGUCCGCAAGAAUUGUGAAUGAAAAGGUUGGAGGAUUUGGCCGAAGAAAGUGAUAGCCCUAUAGAUCCUCCCAUGGUUCGAUUAUGAAAAUAAAAUGCAACAUGUUUGAAUAUCGCUUCUACGCAAGAAAAGGGGAACAUCGUCUAGCCCAAGAAUUCCUCAAUGAUUGAUGGCGUAUAAGUAUCGUGAGGGAAAGGUGAAAAGAAUCCUAGGAAAGGAAGUGCAAUAGAAAUAAAUAUUAUGUGAACAGCCAAUUGAAAGCUCUAGACUAGUGAGAUUAGAAGGGUGUAAUCUUAACAUAGACGUGGCUCACCCUAACGAUGUACCUUUUACAAAAUGGGUCAGCCAUAAAUGCAGACAGUGGCUUAAGCCAUUAGGUAUAGGCACUUUCCAGCAUCCCAUUUGUUCCUAUUUCACCAGACACUGAUCAAUCUAGCCAUGAGCAGGUUGAAGUAGGCUUCAACGUGCUUUGGAGGACCAAACCCACAUAUGUGGUAAAGUAUAGGGAUGUCUUGUGGCUAGGGGUGAAAGGCCAACCAAGAUCAAAUAUAGUUGGUUUUCCAUGAAAUCUAUUUCAAUAGAGCAUGUGUAUAAUAUUUCCCGAGGUAGAGAACUCAGGGUGGCCCAAAGCUUGACCCACCCAAAGGAAACUCUAAGUACAAGCUUAAUUAAUCAUAUAGACAGACUUUAGGUGCUAAUGUCCAGAUUCGAGAGGGAAAUAGCCUAGAUCGUACACUAAGGUCCCUAAGCAAUCAAUUAGUGGAAAAGGAAGUGAUCAAAUGACGACAACUAGGAGGUGGUAUUGGAAGCAACCAUCCAUGGAAAGAAAGCAUAAUAGCUCACUGGUCUAGCAUCAUGGCACUAAAAAUGUAUCGAGGCUCAAGUGAUUCAUCGAAGCACCAAGACCUUAGAAGCAACAUUAACCAAGUGUCAGUAGCAAGGCGUACCACAAGGCAUUCAACCCAGAACUCUCCUCGUUGUAAAACAACGGGGCUUCUUCUUAUCACAGGGAAGCCUUUUCUUAUCACAGGGAAAUAGAAGAUUCUUCUUUCUCGUUCCAUGAAAAAACAAAACCUUAUGAUUUGUAAG